RNAcentral lists this non-coding RNA (742 nucleotides) under Hippodamia variegata. Lineage: Eukaryota; Metazoa; Arthropoda; Insecta; Coleoptera; Coccinellidae. The record is from RNAcentral.
AAUUAUGGUAUAAAAUAUAUAUAUAUAUAUAUAAUUUAUAUGAAUUUUGUUUUAGAUUUAAUUUUAGUAGUGUAUAAUAUUAAUUAUUAAAGAAAUUUAGAAUUAGUAAUAUAUUUUAAUAUAUGCGAAUUUUGUGCCAGCAGCAGCGGUUAUACAAAAUAUAUAAUAUAUAAAUAUUAGCUUUAAUUAAUAGAUAUAUAUAUUAAAUUAAAAUUUUUGAUUUUUAGGUGAAAUUUUAAUAUAAAAAUAAUUUAAAUAUAAAAUUAUAUGAGGUUAAGAACUUUUUUUUUAAACUAGGAUUAGAUACCCUAUUAUUAAAAAUGUAAAUUAUAAAGCUAAGUGAAUAAUAGUUAAGUUCUUUAAAGCUAAAUGAUUUGGCGGUAUUUUAAACUUUUCAGAGGAACCUGUUCUAUAAAUGAUAAUCCACGAUUAAAGUUACUUUGAUUAGAAAUUUUUAUAUCGUUGUUGUUAAAUAUUUUAUAAGAAAUAAAUAUUUAAGAUUUCUUAAUAAAGAAAAAAAUCAAAUCAAGGUGAAGUUUAUAUUGAAGAAGAAAUGGGUUACAAUAAAUUAUAUUUAUGGAUUAAAAUUUGUAAAGUUUUAUGAAAUUGGAUUUGAAAGUAAUUAAUUAAAAUAUUUUUUUAAUGAUUAAGCUCUAAAAUAUGUACAUAUUGCCCGUCGCUUUCGUCUAAAAUGGAAUAAGUCGUAACAUAGUAGAUUUACUGGAAAGUGGUUCUAGAAUGU